CCUACGGGCGGCUUCAGUGGGGAAUAUUGGACAAUGGGCGAAAGCCUGAUCCAGCCAUGCCGCGUGUGUGAAGAAGGCCUUCGGGUUGUAAAGCACUUUCAGUGGGGAAGAAAGCCUUGGGGCUAAUACCCUCGAGGAAGGACAUCACCCACAGAAGAAGCACCGGCUAACUCCGUGCCAGCAGCCGCGGUAAUACGGAGGGUGCGAGCGUUAAUCGGAAUUACUGGGCGUAAAGCGCGCGUAGGCGGUCUGAUAAGCCGGUUGUGAAAGCCCCGGGCUCAACCUGGGAACGGCAUCCGGAACUGUCAGGCUAGAGUGCAGGAGAGGAAGGUAGAAUUCCCGGUGUAGCGGUGAAAUGCGUAGAGAUCGGGAGGAAUACCAGUGGCGAAGGCGGCCUUCUGGACUGACACUGACGCUGAGGUGCGAAAGCGUGGGUAGCAAACAGGAUUAGAUACCCGAGUAGUC
RNAcentral lists this ribosomal RNA (465 nucleotides) under Vreelandella stevensii. RNAcentral describes it as "partial 16S ribosomal RNA". It matches the Rfam family "Bacterial small subunit ribosomal RNA", at positions 338 to 795 of the family's 1533-position model. The record is from RNAcentral. Lineage: Bacteria; Pseudomonadati; Pseudomonadota; Gammaproteobacteria; Oceanospirillales; Halomonadaceae.